This 266-nucleotide signal recognition particle RNA is filed under the name Kiritimatiellia bacterium. Its description in RNAcentral is "Kiritimatiellae bacterium (wastewater metagenome) signal recognition particle sRNA large type". It matches the Rfam family "Bacterial large signal recognition particle RNA". Rfam says of the family: The signal recognition particle (SRP) is a universally conserved ribonucleoprotein involved in the co-translational targeting of proteins to membranes. Archaeal SRP consists of a 7S RNA and homologues of the eukaryotic SRP19 and SRP54 proteins. The record is from RNAcentral. Lineage: Bacteria; Pseudomonadati; Kiritimatiellota; Kiritimatiellia.
CCGUGCUAGACGGGGAGGUAGCGGUGCCCUGAACCUGCAACCCGCUAUAGCAGGGUGGAAUUCCCGAGCCAGGCGGACGCGGGUGGGUUGGCGUCCCGGCAACGGGCGAUGACGGUCGGCCCCUAUGCGACGGAAAGCGGCGAACCCCGUGAGGACCGGAAGGUAGCAGCGGUAACCCGUGGCAUUCCGGGCGCCGUAGGUGUGCUGGCCCGAGCCCGGACCCGGUGCACGCGGCUCACCGGUUUCCGUCGAACGAGGGUGCACGG